RNAcentral lists this ribosomal RNA (253 nucleotides) under uncultured bacterium. RNAcentral's name for it is "partial 16S ribosomal RNA". It matches the Rfam family "Bacterial small subunit ribosomal RNA", at positions 524 to 776 of the family's 1533-position model. The record is from RNAcentral.
UACGUAGGUGGCGAGCGUUGUCCGGAUUUACUGGGCGUAAAGGGAGCGUAGGCGGGCUUUUAAGUGAGAUGUGAAAUACUCGGGCUCAACUUGAGUGCUGCAUUUCAAACUAGAAGUCUAGAGUGCAGGAGAGGAGAAUGGAAUUCCUAGUGUAGCGGUGAAAUGCGUAGAGAUUAGGAAGAACACCAGUGGUGAAGGCGAUUCUCUGGACUGUAACUGACGCUGAGGCUCGAAAGCGUGGGGAGCAAACAGG